UCCCCUCUUUAAUAAUAGUAACACCGCUGCGUUAAUAAAGAGAUAGCAGAUUUCUGUAAUAAGGCUUUUCUGUGGAACUGUUUUUGUCUAGAUGGUGUGGGGUGAUGUUCCAUUCUACAGUGACGCAAGCAUCGUCAAAGCAACCCUCUACUUUCCACGUGGAAUAUCCAGAGAUUGCCGUCACCUGAUUCGCCGGUGCCUCGCUGUCAGUCCAGACGACCGGCCAACCCUGGAGCAGAUGCAGCAGCAUCCCUGGAUGCGAUAGAAUAGACUAUAUUUCAUCUAUAAAUGUCCUAAAUAAACAUGGCCAGCAUUCCUAUUCAUGUCAUCCCUGACUGAUAGUAGAUAAAACGAUAUAGCAAGGGGAUUCAAAUAUUACCCUACGAGGUUCAGAUUACUGCUGGUUUUCUACCUGAUAAUGAAUUACACACAGCUGAUGUCACAUGUUAAAAUCAGGGGUAAAAUGGGAAAAUAAAUCAGUGGAACUGGUUUAGAGGUCCAGAGUUGAAUUUGAGGGGUAUAUGGUAUUGAUGAAUAGAGGAGUUCGUUAUUUAUCGUCUUUUUGAGGCAUCAGAGUCCACCCAGCGCUGUUUUUUCAGGAACAUCACACUGCGCACGGUUCGCACGCGCUGAAGGUUGAACGGAGCUUUACACGAGAGGUGAGUUGUAGCUGCGCACAGACAAACCAGGACAUCCCAGAUUGUACCUUUAUGGCUGGUAUCAGGAUUAGCGUCUAGCUAGCAAGAACAAACUAACAAUGUGGCAAGCUCUAAUAACAGGUCUGUGAUCUGCAUUCAAGUGCACUCAACCACGAUCACGAGGAUGAUCAUAACACACCUCUUCUUGUAAUUAAUUGUAGGCUAGGCUAUUUGCUGGCAGAUUAUUUUAACAGUAGGCCUACCUACACAAUAACCUCACAUGGGGUUACUGACCCCCAUCCAUUGAAUUCAUAAUAAGAAGUGGUGAUUAUCUUGGGGAGAGACAGCACACAUGGAAGAAAACACAAGAAGGGCUGCAGAUUAAGUGAGAUACAAAUUACAUUUACUUUUCAUUAGCCUAUUGGUUGUAUUUAAAACAUGGGUCGUUCGUUUUAUUGAUCUCAGUAUGUAAAUAUCAGAGUAGCUGGUCAUUUGUUGUAAUAUUGUUGUAAUGUCUGCAGUCAUGUAAAAUUUAAAAAACACCUCCCCUUUUUUUAGGACCCACAAAACCUCAGCCCCUGGUAUUCAAGACUGAACCCUGAAACACCUCGGCCCCUGGUAUUCAAGACUGAACCCUGAAACACCUCGGCCCCUGGUAUUCAAGACUGAACCCUGAAACACCUCGGCCCCUGGUAUUCAAGACUGAACCCUGAAACACCUCGGCCCCUGGUAUUCAAGACGGAACCCUGAAACACCUCGGCCCCUGGUAUUCAAGACUGAACCCUGAAACACCUCGGCCCCUUGUAUUCAAGACUGAACCCUGAAACACCUCGGCCCCUGGUAUUCAAGACUGAACCCUGAAACACCUCGGCCCCUGGUAUUCAAGACUGAACCCUGAAACACCUCGGCCCCUGGUAUUCAAGAUUGAACCCUGAAACACCUCGGCGGCCCUCCUUUGUAAAGGACACCAGCAGUAUGGUCUCAGACCAGCUCCCCUCCUUUGUAAAGGACACCAACAGUAUGGUCUCAGACCAGCUCCCCUCCUAAAGGACACCAGCAGUAUGGUCUCAGAACAGCUCUCCUCCUAAAGGACACCAGCAGUAUGAUCUCAGAACAGCUCCCCUCCUAAAGGACACCAGCAGUAUGAUCUCAGAACAGCUCCCCUCCUAAAGGACACCAGCAGUAUGGUCUCAGAACAGCUCCCCUCCUUUGUAAAGGACACCAGCAGUAUGGUCUCAGAACAGCUCCCCUCCUAAAGGACACCAGCAGUAUGGUCUAAGAACAGCUCCCCUCCUAAAGGACACCAGCAGUAUGAUCUCAGAACAGCUCCCCUCCUUUGUAAAGGACACCAACAGUAUGGUCUCAGAACAGCUCCCCUCCUAAAGGACACCAGCAGUAUGGUCUCAGAACAGCUCCCCUCCUAAAGGACACCAGCAGUAUGGUUUCAGAACAGCUCCCCUCCUAAAGGACACCAGCAGUAUGAUCUCUAUUAUUGAAUCUCUUGAUCCUCUCCCGGAGAAUACUUUGUUAGUUACUUUUGAUGUCGAUUCGUUGUUAUGCGAUUUUUAAAAAAAGAAUAAUGACUAAAUGAGGUAUACGGCACUAUAACGGGCAAGAAAUCUACCCUGUCUUUCUUGUCGUGUUAAAUAAUGUUUGUUCAUAAAUAAUGUUUGUUCAUUAGGAAGGGGUUCUAUGGCAUGUACCUAGGAAGAAAUGUAUGUACCUGUAUGUACCAUGUACCUAGGAAGAAAGGAAUGUAUGUGGAGAUAAGAGAGGACAGGGAGAGCCCCUCCAGAGCUCUGGGGGGGGCUUGGAACUGUCAGCUGAGGGGUUAUAAACUGUGAUGAGACUCAUGAGAAAAUCCCUAUGUUGGUGUGUAUGUAUGUGCGUAGGUUAGGAUGGUAUAAGAAGGAAUGUAUUUGUGAAAACUGGAGAGCUCUCGCAAAUAAAUCGGGAUCUGAUCAAUUGUGAGCUGGGAAUUCUGUCUGUUUUAUUUUAAGACCAGGACUUCACAACCUCUGGGUAUCAAACAGAUACACAUAAAUUGGAAUCUUUGAACAUUGAUUACAAAAUGACUUAACAGUCGUUUAACACAAAUAAAUACAAAUUCUCUCCACACGAGGGCGGUAUUGGCGCUAUGGAACAUCUUCUUCUACAACGUGACCCUAAUGAACUACCUUCCACUGCAUGCAUUAUAACAUUGUCUGAAAUAGUACUCACACACAAC
Long non-coding RNA from Oncorhynchus kisutch (coho salmon), 2865 nucleotides. Lineage: Eukaryota; Metazoa; Chordata; Actinopteri; Salmoniformes; Salmonidae. The record is from Ensembl.